Molecule: non-coding RNA, 46 nt
Filed under: unclassified sequences
Also listed under: 1 other name
Description: Acido-Lenti-1 RNA
Rfam family: Acido-Lenti-1 RNA
Source: RNAcentral
CCUAGGGCUUACGCCCUAGGCUAAUAAGUAGCGCGCCUACAGCGCU